This 512-nucleotide ribosomal RNA is filed under the name uncultured soil bacterium. RNAcentral's name for it is "bacterial SSU rRNA". It matches the Rfam family "Bacterial small subunit ribosomal RNA", at positions 26 to 527 of the family's 1533-position model. The record is from RNAcentral.
AGAGUGAACGCUGGCGGUAGGCCUAACACAUGCAAGUCGAACGGCAGCACAGUAGGAGCUUGCUCUUACGGGUGGCGAGUGGCGGACGGGUGAGGAAUACAUCGGAAUCUACCUUUUGGUGGGGGAUAACGUAGGGAAACUUACGCUAAUACCGCAUACGCCCUUCGGGGGAAAGCCGGGGACCAGCAAUGGCCUGGUGCUGAUAGAUGAGCCGAUGUCGGAUUAGCUAGUUGGUGAGGUAAUGGCUCACCAAGGCGACGAUCCGUAGCUGGUCUGAGAGGAUGAUCAGCCACACUGGAACUGAGACACGGUCCAGACUCCUACGGGAGCAGCAGUGGGAAUAUGGACAAUGGGCGCAAGCCUGAUCCAGCCAUACCGCGUGGGUGAAGAAGGCCUUCGGGUUAGUAAAGCCCUUUUAGGUUAGGUAAAGAAAAGACAAUUACGGUUUAAAUACCCGGUUAGUUACGUGAACGGUACCGAAAAGAAUAAAGACCACCGGACUAACUUACGCG